Molecule: long non-coding RNA, 441 nt
Organism: Fundulus heteroclitus (mummichog)
Lineage: Eukaryota; Metazoa; Chordata; Actinopteri; Cyprinodontiformes; Fundulidae
Exons: 3
Source: RefSeq, a predicted model, not a curated record
UCUCGCUCUGGACCCCAUUCCAAGCGUUACCUUGUGUUCUGACGUCUCAAGACGAGCCGCCCAGCUUGUACCCCUCUGGAUCCUGCUACCGACGUUUCCCCGUGCUCAAGAAUCAUUCCAACACUUCCUUGAUGUUACCAAGCCGGGCUGAGGACUGUCAUUCGAUUGUCCUGGUUCCUCCAGCUGCAGUGACGUGCGGUAGGGUUCAUAGCUGCUGUCAUCAGAUCACCUCCCACGCUACCGCUGCUCGGGCCUCUCACGGACUCCACCUGCCCGCCCACUGGCCGCUCUGUCACCUGCCGCCAUCUUGGGAGAUCUCUCACUAGGUCCGUCUCUCCUCUCCACUCCCACUGGCUGGAUCACGGUGCUCGGCGAUCGCCCGAGUCAGGUCUCGCGUCUCCCUCCGGCGCUGCUUGUCAUGGGUUUACCACACAGUCACCU